RNAcentral lists this transfer RNA (86 nucleotides) under Candidatus Phytoplasma pini. Its description in RNAcentral is "tRNA-Tyr". It matches the Rfam family "tRNA". Rfam says of the family: Transfer RNA (tRNA) molecules are approximately 80 nucleotides in length. Their secondary structure includes four short double-helical elements and three loops (D, anti-codon, and T loops). The record is from RNAcentral. Lineage: Bacteria; Bacillati; Mycoplasmatota; Mollicutes; Acholeplasmatales; Acholeplasmataceae.
GGAGGGGUAGCGAAGUGGCUAAACGCAUCAGUCUGUAAAACUGCUCCUUAAUAGGUACGAUGGUUCGAAUCCAUCCCCCUUCACCA